RNAcentral lists this ribosomal RNA (497 nucleotides) under uncultured bacterium. RNAcentral's name for it is "partial 16S ribosomal RNA". It matches the Rfam family "Bacterial small subunit ribosomal RNA", at positions 28 to 507 of the family's 1533-position model. The record is from RNAcentral.
GAUGAACGCUGGCGGCGUGCCUAAUACAUGCAAGUCGAGCGAACAGACGAGGAGCUUGCUCCUCUAACGUUAGCGGCGGACGGGUGAGUAACACGUGGAUAACCUACCUAUAAGACUGGGAUAACUUCGGGAAACCGGAGCUAAUACCGGAUAAUAUAUUGAACCGCAUGGUUCAAUAGUGAAAGACGGUUUUGCUGUCACUUAUAGAUGGAUCCGCGCCGCAUUAGCUAGUUGGUAAGGUAACAGCUUACCAAGGCAACGAUGCGUAGCCGACCUGAGAGGGUGAUCGGCCACACUGGAACUGAGACACGGUCCAGACUCCUACGGGAGGCAGCAGUAGGGAACCUUCCGCAAUGGGCGAAAGCCUGACGGUGCAACGCCGCGUGAGUGAUGAAGGUCUUCGGAUCGUAAAACUCUGUUAUUAGGGAAGAACAAAUGUGUAAGUAACUAUGCACGUCUUGACGGUACCUAAUCAGAAAGCCACGGCUAACUACGUG